AUGGUCGGCGUCGCCGCCGGCUUCGCGUUCGCGCCGGCCGUGUCCCGGCGGCUGCCAUACAGGCCGUGCUGCUCCACCGCCCACGCCUCGGUGCCCUCCUCCUCGGCGCGGUCGUCGCUGGCCGCGCGGCAGGGGCGGCCGCGGCGGCUCGUCGCGGUCGCCCGCUACUCCGCGUACGGGAGCGACGAGGAAGACGACGAGGAGGGCGGGGCCGGGCGGCGGGACCGCCCCGAGCAGGAGCAGGACCCCGCCCUCGACAUCGAGCGUAUCCAGUCUUCGACCGUCAGGCUGUUGGAUGCCCAGAAAAAUAUGGUUGGUGUUAUAUCUGUAAGCGAGGCAGUUCGAAUUGCAGAUGAAAAUGAUCUUAUGCUGGCAAUAUUGUCACUAGAUGGAGAUCCUCCAGUACUCCGACUCUUUGAAGAGAAAGAUUACAAAAAACACAAGUACGAACAACAGAAGAAGAAAAGAGUUCAGCAGAAAAGAUCCGUUGCAAAACGCAUGGGCUUGAAAGAGCUGAAAAUGGGGUACAACAUUGAUAUUCAUGAUUACAGUGUGAGACUUAGAGCUGCAAAGAAAUUUCUUAAAGCCGGUGACAAGGUUAAGAUAGUGGUAAACUUGAAAGGUCGGGAGAACUUGUACAAAAAACAAGCGAUUGAACUUCUCAGAAGAUUCCAAACUGAUGUUGGUGAGCUAGCGACAGAAGGAAGUAAGAAUUUUGCGGAGAGGAAUAUAUAUUUGAUUCUUGUACCCAAUAAACUAGCUAUACAGAAAGAACAAGAUGGGGUGAGCAAAAAGGAUGCUGUGGAAGGAGAGACGGACCAAUCGGACGAUGAACUGGACGGGGACGAGACUCUGAUCGAACAACUGGAGGGAAGUAGUUUGGAUGGGGAUGAGCCCGUGAUAGAACUGGAGGAAAGUAAGGAACCUGAGACAGAAGUCUCAGCAAAUGUUUGA
RNAcentral lists this ribosomal RNA (954 nucleotides) under Triticum aestivum (bread wheat). RNAcentral's name for it is "partial small subunit ribosomal RNA". The record is from RNAcentral. Lineage: Eukaryota; Viridiplantae; Streptophyta; Magnoliopsida; Poales; Poaceae.